CAGCCUCUGCAGUUUGGCCUUCUCCUUCCCAAGGGCUACAGACAGUUCUUUCAUGGUCCCCCUCAAGGAUCGAAGCUCGUCGGAGCCUUGAACCGAAACGGCCUGGGCUCUUUCGGACAACUGCUUUUGAAAGCGAGCAACCUCGUCGGUCGCCGUCUUGAGCCUCCUUCUGUAGUUGUCUAUUUGCUCUCACCAGCCGACUCGGUCAGUGUUGUAAUUCGUCUCGAUGUCCUGUAGCUGCUUCUCGAGGUUGGAGAAUUUCUUCAACCAGUCCCAACCGUAGUCAGCC
RNAcentral lists this long non-coding RNA (289 nucleotides) under Elaeis guineensis (African oil palm). Its description in RNAcentral is "long non-coding RNA (EGUI_LNC081242)". Lineage: Eukaryota; Viridiplantae; Streptophyta; Magnoliopsida; Arecales; Arecaceae. The record is from RNAcentral.